This 560-nucleotide long non-coding RNA is filed under the name Ursus maritimus (polar bear). RNAcentral describes it as "lncRNA (ENSUMAG00000017685.1)". Lineage: Eukaryota; Metazoa; Chordata; Mammalia; Carnivora; Ursidae. The record is from RNAcentral.
UGAGAAUCUGCGCCUCUCUAUGGAAAUUGAGGACUGCAGUAAGAAGCAUUUCCCCUACCGAUGACAGGACCUACGUUGGACACAGGAAAACUGGAGAUAAAACCUCAGAAAAGAAAACGGAAGCCCAGAGAGACAGUUGGUGCUGUGACAUGUGGUUUUUGACCUAGGACCCAAUGUUCUUCCCCAUACAAAAACCUGCCUUGGAUCAAUGACAUUCUGGAAACCUGUUCCAGUGCACAGAUAUAUACUCAUCGGAACGUACAUCGUGUUGGUGAAGAGAGGCAGGGCCAAAGGAAGUAUUUUGGGGGACUGUGGCUACAGAUAACCCACUGAGAGAAUAUCCUACACCAUUCACACCACAACUGUGGGAAGUUCAAGUUGUUGGUACGUAUCCUCAUAUACCCACCUGCCAUCACACUAGAGCGAGCGCUCAUAUCUAAUUUUGAUAGAGAAAUAGUAAUCUGUCACGGUUGGUAACCGAUCCUUAAACCCUGCACUUAUUUUGGGUAUUAGGUAGGAAAUAAGUCUUAGAAAUAAAGUUUCUAAGAUGCCGGGGACCA